UACAGAGGUCUCAACCGUUGUUCGGAUUCAUUGGGCGUAAAGGGUGCGUAGGCGGUCGCGCAAGUCGGAUGUGAAAUCUCAGGGCUCAACCCUGAAACUGCAUUCGAUACUGCGUGGCUAGAGUGCUGGAGAGGAGACUGGAAUUUACGGGUGUAGCAGUGAAAUGCGUAGAUAUCGUAAGGAAGACCAGUGGCGAAGGCGAGUCUCUGGACAGCAACUGACGCUGAGGCACGAAGGCCAGGGGAGCAAACGGG
RNAcentral lists this ribosomal RNA (254 nucleotides) under uncultured bacterium. Its description in RNAcentral is "partial 16S ribosomal RNA". It matches the Rfam family "Bacterial small subunit ribosomal RNA", at positions 524 to 776 of the family's 1533-position model. The record is from RNAcentral.